UAUACACUAGAUGACCCGGUUGCGCCAAUGGCGCAAGAACCGAAUUAGAAAGAAUGUUAGUAGUGCAUAAGUAGGAGAUGUUACUGGAAAGAUAAUGCAAUGUGGAUUAUAUUACAAAUCAUGAAAUCAAUAUCAGAGAACCAAAUAAUGUCACCACCUCUGUACUAACAACCAACAUUUUAGCAUAAGCAGUAUCACAGGAAUGUUUACUUGCACAUCAGGAGUAUCACAAUUACAACUAAAGAGGCAUUGUCCUCACUGUUGUCCCUGAGCCCUUCACAAGGAGAGUUCCAAGCCUCGCAACUUCUUCCUCCAGCUCUGCACAUGACCCUCAGUUACGAACCUCGUCCCUCAGCAAUUAGACUCCGGUAGUUUGCAAACUCCCAUUUCCCAUUGCAGAUUGAUUUACAUGGCUACUCUCACCAAUGAGAGGACCAAGCACAGAAAAGAUUCAGAACUUUUGGAAGCAAAAUUUAUAGAGCUAUGAGGUCUCUGAGCACUUACCAUGCCUAAUCGCAUGAAUCCAACAAAUUUGCCAACUCAAAUGCCACAAAGACCAAAUGAUGGUGUGAGGCAGCUCACCAUAUGUUAUCGACUCUUACAAUGAUAGAUCCAUAGAUCAGCGAGGAUAUUCAUAAAUGCUUCACCUAAGAAGGCCAAGAUGCCAUACACACAAUUAGAGCCAAAACAACACUUGAAGCAGUGGAAAUAGCCAUCCACUUGCUGGAGGAAAUAAAUGAAAUAACAAGCAAGAAGAAAGCAAAAUGAUGUCGGCAGUGUAUCAAACAAUCGUACUGAAAUGAUCAAUACACAAAAAAAGGAAACGAUCUCUAGUUGUGAACGCACUGAAUUUAGCAUAUAAAUGACAUGGUGACUAAAAUAAUUACCUUAGAUCAUCUUAGGAAAUGUUCCAGCAAAGAAGGCAAUGACUUUUCCGUAUCACCCAUAGCAUGAUUUUUUCAACUUCAAAUCGUAUGAUACCAUGGACUCUGCAUAUGUUGAUAGGACAUAAUAAUUAGCCACAAAAAACAGGGGUACGGAUAACACAUUGAAAGUAAAAGCAGAGAGCAAAUUUAAUGCUUACAGCAAAGAAUGGGCACAGAUAACUUACUGGUUCAUCUGCCACUACUUUAUUAUCUAUGAAGAAACUAAAAGUCAAAUGUACAACUAAAUCAGGAAUAAGAACACCAUAAUAAUUAGCCACAAAAAACAGGGGUACGGAUAACACAUUGAAAGUAAAAGCAGAGAGCAAAUUUAAUGCUUACAGCAAAGAAUGGGCACAGAUAACUUACUGGUUCAUCUGCCACUACUUUAUUAUCUAUGAAGAAACUAAAAGUCAAAUGUACAACUAAAUCAGGAAUAAGAACACCAUAAAACACUGGGCUUGGUCUGCAUGCAAACCAUUAAUCUGAUUGGAGAUGGAAAAUUAACCAAUAUUGUACCUCAUGCAUUGGCACGGGUCUCGCCGAUCUGAGCCUGGCAACAAAACAUACCAUCAUGUAAAGGAAGGGUUGUAGAAAAAUUAAGAGAAGCAGAUGCCAAGUAAACAAAAAGCAUGUAUCUUAGUCAUCUCAAUCAUAUUAUCCAUAGCGCUCCUCUAGGAAUGAGCGAGAAAAUGAUCAAAAAUCAUAUGGCAAAGGAAUAUCAAGGACAUCACAAACAACAACAAUAAAGGAAACACUACGCAUUGCUCUGAAAAAGGUCCCGACCCUGGCGGGCGCGCGUGAAGGGCCGACGUGGUGGCAUAUCGACUGCACCUGGCAAUUGUCUUGCUAUUGCUAGCCCUCAUCGCCGAUGUGCUCCUUCCUUAGUCGCUGCCCUCGAACCUCCUACUUAGCCGGGGAGGGGAGGGUCGCGGGGCGCAUGAGCCGUGUGAGAUCGGCAGCUGCCAUCUCCCACCCAUUGAGCCGCCUACUUGACUGGCACCUGCUCCGCCCCUCCUUCGGC
RNAcentral lists this long non-coding RNA (1947 nucleotides) under Triticum aestivum (bread wheat). RNAcentral describes it as "long non-coding RNA (TAES_LNC005235)". The record is from RNAcentral. Lineage: Eukaryota; Viridiplantae; Streptophyta; Magnoliopsida; Poales; Poaceae.